AGUGAACGCUGGCGGUAGGCCUAACACAUGCAAGUCGAACGGCAGCACAGUAAGAGCUUGCUCUUACGGGUGGCGAGUGGCGGACGGGUGAGGAAUACAUCGGAAUCUACUUUGUCGUGGGGGAUAACGGAGGGAAACUUACGCUAAUACCGCAUACGACGUACGGGUGAAAGCAGAGGAGCUUCGGACCUUUCGCGAUUGUAUGAGCCGAUGUCGGACUAGCUAGUUGGUUGGGUAAAGGCCCACCAAGGCUACGAUCCGUAGCUGGUCUGAGAGGAUGAUCAGCCACACUGGAACUGAGACACGGUCCAGACUCCUACGGGAGGCAGCAGUGGGGAAUAUUGGGCAAUGGGCGAAAGCCUGAUCCAGCCAUACCGCGUGAGUGAAGAAGGCCUUCGGGUUGUAAAGCCCUUUUGUUGGGAAAGAAAAGCAGCAGGUUAAUCCCCCGCUGUUCUGACGGUACCCAAAGAAUAAGCACCGGCUAACUUCGUG
This 492-nucleotide ribosomal RNA is filed under the name uncultured bacterium. RNAcentral's name for it is "partial 16S ribosomal RNA". It matches the Rfam family "Bacterial small subunit ribosomal RNA", at positions 29 to 507 of the family's 1533-position model. The record is from RNAcentral.